ACUUGUUUAAACACAGCUGAGUGGUGGACUUUAUUGUGCAGGAAAGGGAAAGGGGAAAUUGCACCGUGACGUCCAAGUACCUAACGGAGUACAAAGUCCUGCACCAGACUGCAAUCUAUCAGAGCAACUUUAAAUUCACUACAGCCUUUUCUUUGGGUUGUUUUUGAUGGUUGACAUUUUUCUGUUCGAUUUGCGAAAGGAUUUUUUUGUUUUUAAUAUUGUAAAACUGCAUCCAAGCUUCCUGGAGUGCUGUGCCCUACCCCUGGAAAGUGAGCUUGCUUUUGAAUGAAUGCACUCUUGCCACUUCCAGACUCAAUCUCUGACUCAUAAUCCAUUGUACAGUAGGGAAGGUGCCAUGAGGCUGCAACACUGCCUCUCCUGGAGCCUCUCUUUGCUACUUCUGCUCUUGUUGACUUGUGGGUACCAGUGCGUGUCGGUCCACUUCCAGACCCCGCAGCCGGUCAAUGUACUCCCAGCAGGACGUCUAGUUCUCCAGGUCCAGAUCGACCGCGGUCCCAAAGAAAAUAUCUCCAUGAUAACCUGGUAGUGGGAGCCAGAGAAUGCAAAAACCCCCGGGAAUCCUGGGAAAAUGACGUUGAUUACGUACCCCGGUCAAGAAAAACGCUUGGACGGGCGUCUGAGUCUGGAGCAGUAGGGGCCAAUACUGAAGCUGGAGGGCUUUGGCGUGGCGGACAGCAGAGUGUACAUCGUGACCGUCACUGACCAGGCUGGCGUCAAGACCUGUGCACAGUGUAUCGUCAAGGAGUACGGUACGACGAUCAAUAUGGUCUCAUUAGAAUAUAGCAAAAUUGUGACAUUUAACCGUUGUUCUAUGUCACCUAUGCUGACUUAUUACUUAAAUGUAACUAUAAUGAGGUGUUAGUUAUGUGACAAUACGGCUGACAGACGUUCUGAUUACGUUGCUGUUUUGAAUACAUUCCUAGACAUUCCUUCCUGUCCCCAUGGAGUUAUGUUCUUAUAGAGGAAUAACUGUUGGGUCAGUUCUGCCUAAGCUCAUUCUUUGUCUUUAUAAUAUAAAUGUAUGCUUCACUGUAGUCCAACACUCAAAUUUGAGUCUGUAAUAUUUCAGGUUAUCAGUCCAAUGACUCUUCAAUCCCUCUUCAAUAGUUCCAAGCUCUAUAUUUGUCUCUGUCAAAUGUCUUCUUUCUAAGUUUCUGAUCUGUUUUCUCCUCACAGCCUCAUACUCCUCAAGUCACCACCACCAAGCCUCAGUAGACAACACGCUCAACUCACCCUGUUACUUCACAACACAACCAACCUCUGUUCUCUCUCCACUGUCUCUCUCUUUCUCCUUUUGAGACAAUUUUCAGUUGCAACUUCCAAGUCUCCCCUUUCUCACACCUGGUCUCCUUCUCUGUUCUCUGUCUCUUGUCUUUCCUCUCAGAGGCUGUGCACCACCCCUCAGUGAGAGUGAACGUGUCCCACUCCUCCCCGUUUUGUGUGGAGACCUGGGGGACAGACCUUAAAUUCAGCCGGCUCCACGAGCGGGCAGACAUCACCGAUGCUGUGGGACACAUGUCGCCUGAUGGGAAGACCCUGUUAAUCUCCUCCUCAUCCAACUGUGGUCACUUCACUUGCAUGGUGAGCAACAAGCUGGGCCACAGCUCUGCCACCUACACAGCAGGAGACACAAGCGAUACAGUAACAGGAGAGAGGCUUCAGGAGCAUUUUGAGGACAACUAGUAAUGGUGAACCAUUGAUUACAGUACCCAAGUACUUUCGCUACACUCCCCAACUCAAAGAUGGACUCAUAAAAGGACAGUAAGUGUGUAAAACACUUUGGGAGGAGCUUCCUUCCCUGUGAGCAGCAAGACCUUUCAGUGCAUUGGAACAAUGUGGAAAGUGAACUGCUUUGUUGGCCAAUUGACGAGUUCUAAAAUUGGAAAUAUCAACUUUUUCCCAGUGUGUUGCCUAUUUUUGUAGUAGCUAUUAUUUUUACCCCGCCUCUCAUUGUACUGAACUACACUUGACAUUCUUACCCCGCCUCUCAUUGUACUGAACUACACUUGACAUUCUUACCCCGCCUCUCAUUGUACUGAACUACACUUGACAUUCUUACCCCGCCUCUCAUUGUACUGAACUACACUUGACAUUCUUACCCCGCCUCUCAUUGUACUGAACUACACUUGACAUUCUUACCCCGCCUCUCAUUGUACUGAACUACACUUGACAUUCUUACUCCGCCUCUCAUUGUACUGAACUACACUUGACAUUCUUACUCCGCCUCUCAUUGUACUGAACUACACUUGACAUUCUUACUCCGCCUCUCAUUGUACUGAACUACACUUGACAUUCUUACUCCGCCUCUCAUUGUACUGAACUACACUUGACAUUCUUACUCCGCCUCUCAUUGUACUGAACUACACUUGACAUUCUUACUCCGCCUCUCAUUGUACUGAACUACACUUGACAUUCUUACCCCGCCUCUCAUUGUACUGAACUACACUUGACAUUCUUACCCCCGCCUCUCAUUGUACUGAACUACACUUGACAUUCUUACCCCGCCUCUCAUUGUACUGAACUACACUUGACAUUCUUACCCCGCCUCUCAUUGUACUGAACUACACUUGACAUUCUUACUCCGCCUCUCAUUGUACUGAACUACACUUGACAUUCUUACCCCGCCUCUCAUUGUACUGAACUACACUUGACAUUCUUACCCCGCCUCUCAUUGUACUGAACUACACUUGACAUUCUUACUCCGCCUCUCAUUGUACUGAACUACACUUGAGAUUUUUUUAUAUAACGCUCUAAAAUUAUUCGUUUUAAAAACAAUUCCUUAUUCUGUCAUGUUUCUAUAUUGUAAACAUAUUGUAUAUUUUGCUGUGUAUUCUUUGUAGUAAAAAGCCGUUUUUAAACUGUGUGAGGCUUCAGUUAAAUUGGUCGCUAUUGUAAAUCCACAAUUCAGUCAGGGAAUGGGAGUCAAAGUACAACCGCUCCAUACGUAGUGAAUUUCAAAACGCUUUACAGCCAUGAAUAAAAGGGUGCUUGCGUUCGUGCGUGUGUGUCCA
This is a long non-coding RNA of Oncorhynchus tshawytscha (Chinook salmon), 3032 nucleotides long. RefSeq lists it as uncharacterized. The transcript is spliced from 4 exons. Lineage: Eukaryota; Metazoa; Chordata; Actinopteri; Salmoniformes; Salmonidae. The record is from RefSeq and is a predicted model, not a curated record.